Molecule: transfer RNA, 69 nt
Filed under: Marmota marmota marmota (Alpine marmot)
Lineage: Eukaryota; Metazoa; Chordata; Mammalia; Rodentia; Sciuridae
Also listed under: 1 other name
Rfam family: tRNA
About the family: Transfer RNA (tRNA) molecules are approximately 80 nucleotides in length. Their secondary structure includes four short double-helical elements and three loops (D, anti-codon, and T loops).
Source: Rfam by way of RNAcentral
GGUGUUAUGGCUCAGCGGUAGAGCGCUCGCCUCGUAUGUGCGAGGCCCUGAGUUUGAUCCUCAGCACCA